Molecule: transfer RNA, 70 nt
Filed under: Varanus storri
Lineage: Eukaryota; Metazoa; Chordata; Lepidosauria; Squamata; Varanidae
Description: tRNA-Ala
Rfam family: tRNA
About the family: Transfer RNA (tRNA) molecules are approximately 80 nucleotides in length. Their secondary structure includes four short double-helical elements and three loops (D, anti-codon, and T loops).
Source: RNAcentral
GAGGCUUUAGCUUAAUUGAAAGUAUCUGGGUUGCAUUCAGAUGAUGUAGAUUAGAAUUUUACAGGUCUUA